Schizosaccharomyces pombe (fission yeast) is the source of this 458-nucleotide non-coding RNA. The record is from the annotation of a GenBank genome assembly. Lineage: Eukaryota; Fungi; Ascomycota; Schizosaccharomycetes; Schizosaccharomycetales; Schizosaccharomycetaceae.
CUCGACAUUACUGAUGAAAUUUAUCUUAAUUUUAUAAUUAUUUGAUCAUAAUAUAAUAAUCAGUAAAAUGAACCAUUGGACUAAACACGAAAAUUCCAAAUGAGCAAGGAAAAGCCCUUCUUAGCUGUUGAAAUGCAAUUCAUUAAACGCUGUCAAGAGGUACAAUAAACUGCACGUUGUAGAAAGAACCUAACGGUAUGGCUGGAUUUUUCAUCACUAAGUUAAUUUAAAAUUAAAUAAUAGAUAGGAAACUAGAUAUAAGUUAUAACUGCAGCAAGUUCAGUAUGUAUAAUUGAGCUCUGCACAACUUUUUAUAGUAAAGGCUAAUAUUGUGACAAAAAAAAAUACUAAGAAAAUUAAGUUGUCGAAUUAAAUUAAUCCUAAUUUUGCAAAUGUGUCGUUCCAAUAAAAAUAUAGGCUAACCCCCUUGAUAAAAGAAAAUAAUCAUGUGUUUAACG